UUUCUUCACAAAAUUACUAUGAUUUUAAUUAACAAUGGAGCAUAUGCUGUGAGUGAUGAUGUAUAUGACUAUAGUCUCUUAGGUGAUUUGAAUUCAUGUUUUCCUAAUUGUAGGCUAUAAACCUGGAACAACUAGCAUAAGUGAAAAGGAUUAGUAUUGUGCUUAUGAUUUUAUUCUUCGAUUUAGUAUAUAAGUAUGGAAAAGCUAAUGAAAAGCCUGAUUAAGGAAAAUUAAGGAUCAGGAUUUUGCUCACUUAAGUAAUCUUGUUCACUUCUUUUUAUAACAGAUUUGGGUGGUAGAAAGUAGAGCAGCUUGAUUAAUAUAGAGUUUUGAAAAUAAUUCAUUAGUUUUACAAUAUUGAGAAAUUUACUUGAAAAAUCAAGCAAAUAAAUAUAAUCCAAAGAUAGCUCCUCAGUCAUGUGCUAUGGAAGGAUAUAUGAGGUUUGAAAAGGAAUACAUAGAUCAAAGAUAAGACUUCUGUCCUUGAAUUUAAAACCAUUAGUCUAACCACACUGCGUAGCUUUAAUUUCUAUUUUAGCAUAGAAUCGUAGAGAUGGAAAGGUCCUUUGAAGUGAAAAAAUCACAUGAAAUUUCAAUAUGAUCAACAGGUAUUUUCUUAACUACCUAGGUGAUACAGAAGUCUGUGUUGCUCUAGGGAACAUCAAUCUAAGAUAUAGUUUAUGCCCUUCAACUCAAAACAGUCAAUCUUUUAAAAAGUGUACAAUUAUUUGUCUUGGUUUAAAUCACAAACUAUUGCAGCUGAAAAGGGCCCUAGAAUCAGCCCUGUCCAGCUCUCAUUUUUACCACUGAACAGAACAGAGGCCAGGAGAGAUGAAAUGCCUUGCCCAUGCUCUUGAGUUUAGUCAAGAAUGUGGCCUGCUUCCUCCCUUCCAGUGUAGCAUCUCAGGACUAAGUAUCUUGCUGGGCUAUCUGUCAUAUAUACAAAAUAUAGAUAUAUAUAAGUGGAACUAAAAGAAGAAAAAAAGCAAUCAUUCUAUAGUUUUAACUUCCCUCACAUGCUAUAAACCGACUUGCGGGGACCG
This 1043-nucleotide long non-coding RNA is filed under the name Marmota monax (woodchuck). The record is from RNAcentral. Lineage: Eukaryota; Metazoa; Chordata; Mammalia; Rodentia; Sciuridae.